CCGCAGCGGUGCUGCUGGGCUUAACCCGCGAUUUUUGGCCAAUUGGCCAGUCCUUUUGCUCCGACUUUGCCAUGGGGGUGUUUAAAAUUGAAUUUCAAGCAAAUGGAGGAAUUUUUACCUCUUUUAGUGGUCAGAAGUAGCUCCAGUGACGAGUGGCGACGACUUUCUUUCCCGGCAGCUGGGUCUUCUUCUCCGGCGAGGGUAUUUGGCGGCUAGGGUUAGGGUUUGGUAUGAAUAGGGUUAUUUAUAUCCGUCCCAUUUAAUCUAUACCAUCCACCAUGUUUGAUCUGGACUGUCCGAUCGUGAUUAAAUAGAGAGUGAAUUUGGACAGUUCAUCACAAUCUAAUUUGGAUCGUUCAUUAUGAUCUAAUCUGGAUCGUCUGAUCACGUUUAAAUCUGACUGUCUGAUCGCAUUUGAGGAGGGAACGCAUCCAGGUCGUUCGUGCGCGCAGGAACAGAUCUUAGACGUUCGAUCAUGGGCACGCAGAUCACCCGUGUGGCCUCUCGCGUGGCACCGCAUUAGCGUCCGUUGUCACGCGACGUGUUCUGGCUCGCCGGGGCUGCUGACUAGGCAUCCUACGUAGCACAAGUUUUUUAUGUUUUAU
Molecule: long non-coding RNA, 605 nt
Filed under: Carica papaya (papaya)
Lineage: Eukaryota; Viridiplantae; Streptophyta; Magnoliopsida; Brassicales; Caricaceae
Description: long non-coding RNA (CPAP_LNC003679)
Source: RNAcentral